UGGGGAAUAUUGCGCAAUGGGGGAAACCCUGACGCAGCGACGCCGCGUGCGGGAUGAAGGCCUUCGGGUUGUAAACCGCUUUUGAUUGGGAGCAAGCUUUCGGGUGAGUGUACCUUUCGAAUAAGCGCCGGCUAACUACGUGCCAGCAGCCGCGGUAAUACGUAGGGCGCAAGCGUUAUCCGGGAUUAUUGGGCGUAAAGAGCUUGUAGGCGGUUCGUCGCGUCUGGUGUGAAAGCCCAUCGCUUAACGGUGGGUUUGCGGCGGGUACUGGCGGGCUAGAGUGCAGGAGGGGAGACUGGAAUUCUCGGUGUAACGGUGGAAUGUGUAGAUAUCGGGAAGAACACCAAUGGCGAAGGCAGGUCUCUGGGCUGUUACUGACGCUGAGAAGCGAAAGCGUGGGGAGCGAACAGG
Molecule: ribosomal RNA, 411 nt
Filed under: Bacteroidota bacterium
Lineage: Bacteria; Pseudomonadati; Bacteroidota
Description: Bacteroidetes bacterium partial 16S ribosomal RNA
Rfam family: Bacterial small subunit ribosomal RNA
Source: RNAcentral